AUUGAACGCUGGCGGCAGGCCUAACACAUGCAAGUCGAACGGUAACAGGAAGAAGCUUGCUUCUUUGCUGACGAGUGGCGGACGGGUGAGUAAUGUCUGGGAAACUGCCUGAUGGAGGGGGAUAACUACUGGAAACGGUAGCUAAUACCGCAUAACGUCGCAAGACCAAAAAGGGGGACCUUCGGGCCUCUUGCCAUCGGAUGUGCCCAGAUGGGAUUAGCUAGUAGGUGGGGUAACGGCUCACCUAGGCGACGAUCCCUAGCUGGUCUGAGAGGAUGACCAGCCACACUGGAACUGAGACACGGUCCAGACUCCUACGGGAGGCAGCAGUGGGGAAUAUUGCACAAUGGGCGCAAGCCUGAUGCAGCCAUGCCGCGUGUAUGAAGAAGGCCUUCGGGUUGUAAUGUACUUUCAGCGGGGAGGAAGGGAGUAAAGUUAAUACCUUUGCUCAUUGACGUUACCCGCAGAAGAAGCACCGGCUAACUCCGUG
Molecule: ribosomal RNA, 490 nt
Filed under: uncultured bacterium
Lineage: Bacteria
Description: partial 16S ribosomal RNA
Rfam family: Bacterial small subunit ribosomal RNA
Source: RNAcentral